GCAAGAGAUGAAAAGCGCACUGCUCAGUAACACGUAGCUAACCUGCCCUAUAGUCCGUCAUAACUUCGGGAAACUGAAGCUAAUAACGGAUAACUGACGAUUUCUGGAACGAUUUGUCGGUGAAAUUUACACGAUAGGAUGGGGCUGCGGCUGAUUAGGUAGUUGGCGGGGUAACUGCCCACCAAGCCGAUGAUCAGUAAGGGCCUUUAGCGAGGAAGCCCUGAGAGGGAGUCUGAGACACUACUCCCAGCCCUACGGGGUGCAGCAGUCGGGAAAAUUCUGCAAUGUACGAAAGUAUGACAGAGCAAGCCAAAGUGCCCAACUUCGUGUUGGGCUUUUGUGUGCUGUAAAAAGGCACACGAAUAAGGACUGGGCAAGACUGGUGCCAGCCGCCGCGGUAAUCCCAGCAGUCCAAGUCGCAGCCACAUUUGUUGGGUCUAAAACAUCCGUAGCUUGCCUUACAAGUCUUUUGUGAAAUCGGGACUCUUAAGGUUCCGGCGGGCAAAAGAUACUGUUUGGCUAGAGACCGGUAGACGCAUCGAGUACAGAUAGGGUAGUGGUAAAAUACGUUGAUCCUUUCUGGACUAACAACAGCGAAGGCACGAUGCGAGCACGGUUCUGACAGUGAGGGAUGAAGGCUAGGGGCGCAAAGUGGAUUAGAUACCCAUGUAGUCCUAGCAGUAAACACUGCACACUAAACAUUAGUGCCUCUUCGAGAGGCAUUAGUGCUGUAGGGAAGCCGGAGAGUGUGCUACCUGGGAAGUAUAGUCGCAAGACCGAAACUUAAAGGAAUUGGCGGGGGGGUACUACAACGAGUGACGCGUGCGGUUCAAUCAGAUACUACACCGUGAACCUCACCAGGACCGACAGCAGAAUGAAGGUCAGUCUAAAGGGCUUACCUGACACGCUGAGAGGAGAUGCAGGGCCGACGUCAGCCUGUGUCGUGAGAUGACCUGUUAAAUCAGGUAACAGGCGAGACCCGUGUGUACAUUUGCAAUUGCUCAAUGUACCGACUGCCUUGGUAACAAGGAGGAAGGUGCGGGCUACGUUAGGUGGACCGUCCCAAAUGUCCUGGGCUACACGCGCGCGGCAAUGCUGCAAUCAAAGGGCUGCGACCCCGAGAGGGGAAGCUAAUCUCAUAAACUGCAGCUUAGUUCAGAUUGAGGGUUGCAACUCACCCUCAUGACGCUGGAAUUCGUAGUAAUCGGAUUUUAUCAGAGUCCGGUGAAUACGUCAAUGCCCCUUGCACACACCGCCCGUCAAACCAACCGAGUUUUGCAUUGGUGAGGCCUAUACAGGACGAAUCUUUGUAAGACAAGGUAGGUUAAGUCGGCACAAGGUA
RNAcentral lists this ribosomal RNA (1342 nucleotides) under metagenome. RNAcentral describes it as "bacterial SSU rRNA". It matches the Rfam family "Archaeal small subunit ribosomal RNA". The record is from RNAcentral.